RNAcentral lists this ribosomal RNA (862 nucleotides) under uncultured bacterium. Its description in RNAcentral is "bacterial SSU rRNA". It matches the Rfam family "Bacterial small subunit ribosomal RNA", at positions 1 to 879 of the family's 1533-position model. The record is from RNAcentral.
CCGCGGGAUUAGAGUUUGAUCCUGGCUCAGAAUCAACGCUGGCGGCGCGCUUAACACAUGCAAGUCGCACGAGAAAGUGGAGCAAUCCAUGAGUACAGUGGCGUACGGGUGAGUAACACGUGGAUCAUCUACCUCUUGAUGGGGAAUAACCCUGGGAAACCGGGGCUAAUACCGCAUAAGCCUGAAAAGGGAAAGCGUUGUCCUUAAAAAACGACACGUCGAGAGAGGAGUCCGCGGCCGAUUAGCUAGUUGGUAGGGUAAAGGCCUACCAAGGCAAUGAUCGGUAGCCGGCCUGAGAGGGCACACGGCCACACUGGCACUGAAACACGGGCCAGACUCCUACGGGAGACAGCAGUGGGGAAUCUUGCACAAUGGAGGAAACUCUGAUGCAGCGACGCCGCGUGAGCGAUGAAGCCCUUCGGGGUGUAAAGCUCUUUCGGCAGGAACGAUAAUGACGGUACCUGCAGAAGAAGCUGCGGCUAACUACGUGCCAGCAGCCGCGGUAAUACGUAGGCAGCAAGCGUUGUUCGGAAUUACUGGGCGUAAAGAGUGUGUAGGCGGUUCUCUAAGUUCCGUGUGAAAUCUCCCGGCUCAACUGGGAGGGUGCGCGGGAAACUGGAGGGCUCGAGUAUGGGAGAGGAAAGCGGAAUUCCUGGUGUAGCGGUGAAAUGCGUAGAUAUCAGGAGGAACACCUGCGGUGUAGACAGCUUUCUGGACCAUCACUGACGCUGAGACACGAAAGCGUGGGUAGCAAACAGGAUUAGAUACCCUGGUAGUCCACGCCCUAAAACGAUGCAUACUUGGUGUGAGCCGUUCAUUCGGUUCGUGCCGGAGCUAACGCGUUAAGUAUGCCGCCUGGGGA